GGAAUGGCGUGAGGCUUACUGGACCUGGUGAUUGUGGGCAGCCGAACGGGAAUCUGGGUCACCUGAGAGCAGUUAAAAAGAUUAAGCGGAGCUGUAGACGCGCAGUAUUGCUACGCUAGCCCACUGAUUCCUUUUUUUUUUUUUUUCCCCUCAAAAUUGGAAGUUUUAGUACUUGUAUGAUAGUCAAUAUCCUUAGUUUCACUUUACAUCAGGAACUUUCCAACGAGUGUUCGGUGGUUGUUUUUCUUAAACGUUCGUCUGGUAGUGCUGUAUUUAACAAUAUAGUAUAAAGCUUGAAGUAUUACAGUGCCCCGCUAUUACUUCAGUGCUAGGAAAGUGUUCGGUAGGAGGAAGACAGGAUGAGGCAUGGGGAAAAGGUUUGUUCUGCUUCAGAAACGUUAAUGCUAAACGUGCAUCUUGUUGCUUAAUUUGUUUCAAGCUCAUGGCAGGCCGUAUACAUAUUUUGGUACUUUCUUAAAUCCAACAAAAUAGAGACUAUUUUGAAAGAUUUCUUUGUGUUAUAACUCAAAGUGUGGCUAAAGACAGGAUUUUACUACUGUAUUCUGCAGCUGUUGACCUAGAAAAUGCAAGAAAGGGACAUAAUAGAUCACAGAUGGAACCAGCUUUACUGUUAUCUAAAAACUUUGGUUUCAAGAAAUUUUCCUAACAGCUACAUAAAAAGUACGGUAAGUGGUAGAUUUUCUGGAAGAAAAUAACUUAAGGCAAGAGGUUGCACGUGUAUUUGUGUUUAUAAUGUGAUUUUUAAGAGUUCUCUAAUCUCUUAUAUUUGCUACUAAAGGAUAUAGAAGCACCACACUUUUGGACUGACUGAAAUUUGAAAUAUAGCUAAUAUAUAUGUGUUUUUGUUAGAAAAAUGAAAAGAGCACUCUUAAUCAGUCUGGAACUGAUGUAAUUCUGAUACCAAUAAAGAUAUCAAAGUGAGAAAAGGCAAAUACCAGUUUCUAUCCAUCAAAUAAAGGACAUAGAAUUACUGAUUUAUGUAGAAAAUAACCUAAAAUGGGAAACUCACUGAGAAUUGCUGCUAAAAUAAAUAACAUUGUUUGCCACCACAAGUCAUUAACCAGUUGCUUUUAGCAAAGAUUCGUGGGAAAAUUUUGACUGUACCUCACUGCUAAGUUCUUUCCUAUUCUAAGCCUUAGAAUAGUGAUUCUUCCAUGUACAUCUGUAUACCCCAACCACCACUGUGGAGAUUAAGGGUAUUGUGAUACAGCUGCC
RNAcentral lists this long non-coding RNA (1236 nucleotides) under Marmota monax (woodchuck). Lineage: Eukaryota; Metazoa; Chordata; Mammalia; Rodentia; Sciuridae. The record is from RNAcentral.